GAUGAACGCUGGCGGCGUGCUUAACACAUGCAAGUCGUGGGGCAGCAGCUCUGUAGCAAUACAGAGGCUGGCGACCGGCAAACGGGUGCGGAACACGUACACAACCUUCCUUCGAGUGGGGAAUAGCCCGGGGAAACCCGGAUUAAUACCCCGUAACAUAAUGAAGUGGCACCACUUUAUUAUUAUAGCUCCGGCGCUGGAAGAUGGGUGUGCGACUGAUUAGGCAGUUGGCGGGGUAACGGCCCACCAAACCUACGAUCAGUAACUGGUGGGAGAGCACGACCAGUCACACGGGCACUGAGACACGGGCCCGACUCCUACGGGAGGCAGCAGUAAGGAAUAUUGGUCAAUGGACGCAAGUCUGAACCAGCCAUGCCGCGUGGAGGAGGAAGGCCCUCUGGGUUGUAAACUUCUUUUAUCUGGGACGAAAAAGGGACUUUCUAGUUCAACUGACGGUACCAGAGGAAUAAGCACCGGCUAACUCCGUGCCAGCAGCCGCCGUAA
Molecule: ribosomal RNA, 504 nt
Filed under: uncultured bacterium
Lineage: Bacteria
Description: partial 16S ribosomal RNA
Rfam family: Bacterial small subunit ribosomal RNA
Source: RNAcentral